Molecule: long non-coding RNA, 399 nt
Organism: Psammomys obesus (fat sand rat)
Lineage: Eukaryota; Metazoa; Chordata; Mammalia; Rodentia; Muridae
Exons: 2
Source: RefSeq, a predicted model, not a curated record
GCUCUCCCCCCUCCUUCCUCCCCACCCCGCCCCCCUCCCCGCGGUCUCCCGUGCGGUGCCCUGAGCGCUGGAGGCUGACGUCAGGGGCCUGAAUUCCUGACUUUGCCUGCACGCAUUUGUCCAUGUAAGGUCCCAGGCUCCCGGGCAGUGAGCUCCGAACCGAGUUAGACCCGCGAGGAGGACUCGACCACCCACUGAAGUGACUAACCCCAGUUCCUGGAAGGUUGUGGUUGACGAGCCUUGAGUAACAAUGGCAGUCGGGUGCUUCGGGCCAACUUCCUGUCCUUUGUUCAGAGAAAUGAACCUUUUGGAGUUUGAGGCUUUGCUUCCCAACCCUACCCUGCCGGAAAACCGGAGAGCUUGCUCUGUCCUUACAGCUUGAAAAAGAAAAUACACGAA